Molecule: transfer RNA, 73 nt
Filed under: Caudoviricetes sp.
Lineage: Duplodnaviria; Heunggongvirae; Uroviricota; Caudoviricetes
Description: tRNA-Met
Rfam family: tRNA
About the family: Transfer RNA (tRNA) molecules are approximately 80 nucleotides in length. Their secondary structure includes four short double-helical elements and three loops (D, anti-codon, and T loops). Further hydrogen bonds mediate the characteristic L-shaped molecular structure. tRNAs have two regions of fundamental functional importance: the anti-codon, which is responsible for specific mRNA codon recognition, and the 3' end, to which the tRNAs corresponding amino acid is attached (by aminoacyl-tRNA synthetases). tRNAs cope with the degeneracy of the genetic code in two manners: having more than one tRNA (with a specific anti-codon) for a particular amino acid; and 'wobble' base-pairing, i.e. permitting non-standard base-pairing at the 3rd anti-codon position.
Source: RNAcentral
CGCGGAAUAGAGCAGUUGGAAGCUCGCUUGGCUCAUAACCAAGAGGUCGGUGGUUCGAGUCCAUCUUCCGCAA